AGAGUUUGAUCAUGGCUCAGAUUGAACGCUGGCGGCAGGCCUAACACAUGCAAGUCGAACGGUAACAGGAAGCAGCUUGCUGCUUUGCUGACGAGUGGCGGACGGGUGAGUAAUGUCUGGGAAACUGCCUGAUGGAGGGGGAUAACUACUGGAAACGGUGGCUAAUACCGCAUAAUGUCGCAAGACCAAAGAGGGGGACCUUCGGGCCUCUUGCCAUCAGAUGUGCCCAGAUGGGAUUAGCUUGUUGGUGAGGUAACGGCUCACCAAGGCGACGAUCCCUAGCUGGUCUGAGAGGAUGACCAGCCACACUGGAACUGAGACACGGUCCAGACUCCUACGGGAGGCAGCAGUGGGGAAUAUUGCACAAUGGGCGCAAGCCUGAUGCAGCCAUGCCGCGUGUAUGAAGAAGGCCUUCGGGUUGUAAAGUACUUUCAGCGGGGAGGAAGGUGUUGUGGUUAAUAACCGCAGCAAUUGACGUUACCCGCAGAAGAAGCACCGGCUAACUCCGUGCCAGCAGCCGCGGUAAUACGGAGGGUGCAAGCGUUAAUCGGAAUUACUGGGCGUAAAGCGCACGCAGGCGGUCUGUCAAGUCGGAUGUGAAAUCCCCGGGCUCAACCUGGGAACUGCAUUCGAAACUGGCAGGCUUGAGUCUUGUAGAGGGGGGUAGAAUUCCAGGUGUAGCGGUGAAAUGCGUAGAGAUCUGGAGGAAUACCGGUGGCGAAGGCGGCCCCCUGGACAAAGACUGACGCUCAGGUGCGAAAGCGUGGGGAGCAAACAGGAUUAGAUACCCUGGUAGUCCACGCCGUAAACGAUGUCUACUUGGAGGUUGUGCCCUUGAGGCGUGGCUUCCGGAGCUAACGCGUUAAGUAGACCGCCUGGGGAGUACGGCCGCAAGGUUAAAACUCAAAUGAAUUGACGGGGGCCCGCACAAGCGGUGGAGCAUGUGGUUUAAUUCGAUGCAACGCGAAGAACCUUACCUGGUCUUGACAUCCACGGAAGAAUUCAGAGAUGGAUUGGUGCCUUCGGGAACCGUGAGACAGGUGCUGCAUGGCUGUCGUCAGCUCGUGUUGUGAAAUGUUGGGUUAAGUCCCGCAACGAGCGCAACCCUUAUCCUUUGUUGCCAGCGGUCCGGCCGGGAACUCAAAGGAGACUGCCAGUGAUAAACUGGAGGAAGGUGGGGAUGACGUCAAGUCAUCAUGGCCCUUACGACCAGGGCUACACACGUGCUACAAUGGCGCAUACAAAGAGAAGCGACCUCGCGAGAGCAAGCGGACCUCAUAAAGUGCGUCGUAGUCCGGAUUGGAGUCUGCAACUCGACUCCAUGAAGUCGGAAUCGCUAGUAAUCGUGGAUCAGAAUGCCACGGUGAAUACGUUCCCGGGCCUUGUACACACCGCCCGUCACACCAUGGGAGUGGGUUGCAAAAGAAGUAGGUAGCUUAACCUUCGGGAGGGCGCUUACCACUUUGUGAUUCAUGACUGGGGUGAAGUCGUAACAAGGUAACCGUAGGGGAACCUGCGGUUG
Molecule: ribosomal RNA, 1522 nt
Filed under: Salmonella enterica subsp. enterica serovar Schwarzengrund
Lineage: Bacteria; Pseudomonadati; Pseudomonadota; Gammaproteobacteria; Enterobacterales; Enterobacteriaceae
Description: bacterial SSU rRNA
Rfam family: Bacterial small subunit ribosomal RNA
Source: RNAcentral